UACGUAGGGUGCAAGCGUUGUCCGGAAUUAUUGGGCGUAAAGAGCUCGUAGGCGGUUUGUCGCGUCUGCUGUGAAACGCGAGGCUCAACCUCGCGCCUGCAGUGGGUACGGGCAGACUGGAGUGCGGUAGGGGAGAUUGGAAUCCUGGUGUAGCGGUGGAAUGCGCAGAUAUCAGGAGGAACACCGAUGGCGAAGGCAGAUCUCUGGGCCGUAACUGACGCUGAGGAGCGAAAGCGUGGGGAGCGAACAGG
This 251-nucleotide ribosomal RNA is filed under the name uncultured bacterium. Its description in RNAcentral is "partial 16S ribosomal RNA". It matches the Rfam family "Bacterial small subunit ribosomal RNA", at positions 524 to 776 of the family's 1533-position model. The record is from RNAcentral.